GCACAAGCGGUGGAGCAUGUGGUUAAUUCGACGCAACGCGAAGAACCUUACCAGGUCUUGACAUCCCGAUGCUAUUUCUAGAGAUAGAAAGUUACUUCGGUACAUCGGUGACAGGUGGUGCAUGGUUGUCGUCAGCUCGUGUCGUGAGAUGUUGGGUUAAGUCCCGCAACGAGCGCAACCCUUGUCCUUAGUUGCCAGCAUUAAGUUGGGCACUCUAAGGAGACUGCCGGUGUUAAACCGGAGGAAGGUGGGGAUGACGUCAAGUCCUCAUGGCCCUUAUGUCCAGGGCUACACACGUGCUACAAUGGCCGGUACAAAGGGCUGCAAUACCGCAAGGUGGAGCGAACCCCAAAAAGCCGGUCUCAGUUCGGAUUGGAGUCUGCAACUCGACUCCAUGAAGUUGGAAUCGCUAGUAAUCGCGGAUCAGCAUGCCGCGGUGAAUACGUUCCCGGGCCUUGU
This 459-nucleotide ribosomal RNA is filed under the name uncultured Pelobacter sp. RNAcentral describes it as "bacterial SSU rRNA". It matches the Rfam family "Bacterial small subunit ribosomal RNA", at positions 923 to 1384 of the family's 1533-position model. Lineage: Bacteria; Pseudomonadati; Thermodesulfobacteriota; Desulfuromonadia; Desulfuromonadales; Desulfuromonadaceae. The record is from RNAcentral.